This is a long non-coding RNA of Mya arenaria, 848 nucleotides long. RefSeq lists it as uncharacterized. The record is from RefSeq and is a predicted model, not a curated record. NCBI's taxonomy places the organism in Eukaryota, Metazoa, Mollusca, Bivalvia, Myida, Myidae. The transcript is spliced from 4 exons.
GUCUUUUUUAAAAUAGUAUAUUCAUUUAUAUUUUCAUUUGAAUCCUAAGUAAAAUCGUAUCUCAUUCGUGGAUGUUGCCUGACCUUUGAAAUCGACUUUCGUACUCAAAGUGAAUCGCAACAGAUCUUCAUGGCUUUAAACUACGGUUUACUGCGUCAACUGCGGAAGAAGUAUCUACUUUCCUCAGUGUUUGUCACCUUUACUGUAAGCGCCAUCACCUUUGAUCUUUUUUCUGCGAGACACCGAAAGACUGAAAACAACAAUCAGGAUAAUCAGAACAAGAGUGUAUCAUAAUUUGUUAAAACAAUUGUUGUUUUGAUGGCUAUUGACUGGUGGAAAGUGUCAAUUGUGCGAAGAAUACUGCUUGGCCCAGUGCUGUGGACGUCGCUCCUUGUUGCUGGUUUAGUGUACGACUCCAGAGUCCGAGCAGACUACCUUGUAAACCUUAAAAAAGAAGUUGAAGACGUCAGAGUCAGUAUUGAGAAACAAAGGGAAGAGUUGGCAAUAGAAGUUGCUGAAAGGCGUAAACAAUUGGAACAGCAGAACCAUUAAUCAUCGAAAAUGAAGACUGGUCUAAGGUUGAUGUUUGCCCGCAGGUUUUGGUAUAUGUGGACUUUGCCAGCUGUCGUAGUGGGGUCUCUGGUCGCUGGAAAUCUUCACAUGCAAGAAAACUAUAAAGAGGCAUAUGCCUUUCGCGGGCAGAGCAAUCUCUUCCGGGAAGAUGCCGAAAAAUUAAAGCGUUCUGGGUCAGGCAGAGAAUUAUGGACAUAAAUAAUUUGUGUAACUUUACAGGCUUGCUGUUUGUUUGUAGAGAUUGAAAUAAACUUCUAGUUGUUUUGGAAUUAAGA